AUGUCACCAACUAUGUCAACAUCUUCUCCAGGUUCAGAGUGUUUUGAAUCAGUUGUGCCGGAAUCAGAUAAUCAGAUGAAUCAUGAUACAUUAUCAUCACCUAGAUCGACAAUAUCUCCUGUUUUUCCAUUACAUGAUGUUAAGGAACCAGAUUCACAUAAAGAGAUCAAAGUUUAUGAUUAUCUCCCACAAGACUAUACAUUGACCGACCAUGAUCUAUGUGCUCAUAUAGCAAUAGAAUCAUCUUUGAGAAAAGAAUUGCUGGUUCAGAUAGAUGGAAGUUCUGUCUUGCAACAUCAGUUGAUGUGCCUGCUAGAUAAAAAAGAGUGGGUAAAUGAUGAUGUGAUCAAUGCAUAUAUAUGUUGUAUAAAGGACCAAAUACAUCUCCAGAAUGAUAAUAAAGUAUAUUUUGAGAGUCCAUUUGUUACCUCACUAUUUAAACGAGAUGGCACCCUUGGAAUACAAGAAGAUAGUGCCUUCAUGACAGAGACUGUCCUCGAAUAUAUGCAGCAUGACAUGAUUAAACUUCCAAUAAAUGCCAGCAACACACAUUGGUAUCUAGCUGUUGUGAAUACAAAAAAACGUGAAGUUCAAGUACUAGACUCAUUAUGCUGGAAUUCUGACAGAGAUGAUCUCGCUAAUACGCUACGAGGAAUACAAUUUCAUUUGGACCUUCUUAAAAGUCAAAAUUUGGUAAGCGACGAUUGGAAAGACAUUGAUCUUACUGAAUGGAAGAUCACAGAACAAUUACAAAAGCCAAUUCAAAAAGAUAGUUCUUCAUGUGGUUUAUUUAUGGUUAAAUUUAUGGAAUAUUGCACCGGAUGUGCACUAUCCUACCCAAUUACACAGGAAAUGAUUACUUCUUUCAGGUUUAAGUUAGCUAGCAUACUAUUAUGUUGGAAAACAAACACUGCAGCAAUGACUACAAUCGUUGAAGAAAGUGACGAUGACACCAAGGGAGAUCCUGAUGAUGGUUUAGAUGAUUUUAAAAAAACAAAACAAAAAUUACCAUUAUCUGUUGAAAAUAAAUACAGAUCACUAAUAUCAGUUCUUUCUAAUAUGACCUUACAUGAGUUAACAGCUGGACUCUGUAGCUUCAUUAAAUCAAUCAAUUACACCGAGAUUUUAGAGAAAGUAUGGAUCCAUAGUUCAAAACCAUAUCCAAUUAGCUUGUCUCUAAAAAAACUACAAGGAAUGCUAAAGGAUGAUUUACCCAUGGACCGAGAUUGCUUUAAUUUGAUCGUACGGAAGAUUAUGUUGGAUGACAUCCAAACGACACAAAAAAAGCAAUUGAUAGCAAAGCAUUAUCUGGACAUGAAAUUUUGGAUGACUACUGAUUAUGGAAGGCACCCAGAUUACCGUAAAAAGUUAGAUGUGGAGCAACUAGCAAAUUCUGUUCGUAGUUGGUCUGGUAUCAAUGUUUCAACAUUUAAAUCGAUCCAUAUUCCAGUACAAACCAUGGAUGAAUUCAUUCUAUUCACAUUGGACCAAGAUACCAGAACAGUGUACAUUUUGGACCCUACUCCUAUUAAUCCAAUGUACCGAUACAACCCACUCGCAAAAUAUAUGAAAAAAAUUAUAUGGAUUUCCGAACACUUACAAAAAGCAAUGUCAAAAGCAUGCCCUGGGUCUAGAUGGAACGAGGAUAUUCGCCUAUGGCAACAUAAAAUCCUAGAUGAUAUUCCAGUUUACAACAGGGAAUUGUCUGGUUAUCUUGUUCCCCUAUUCAUGUCCACAUGGGAAGACGAAAGACCACAUUUGCCAUUUUUAAAGGAUGGAUAUGAACUCAGAAAACUAAUUUUGGGCCAAGUGCUAACAUUCAAGGACAAUGAAUGUGAAGAUAACAUGCCUGCUGGUGUACUGGAAUUCAUCAAUUGUAUUAGGAAAAUCCAAAGUAAAACUGGGAGCUCAAUCAGUGGAAGGUGA
Molecule: ribosomal RNA, 1926 nt
Filed under: Triticum aestivum (bread wheat)
Lineage: Eukaryota; Viridiplantae; Streptophyta; Magnoliopsida; Poales; Poaceae
Description: partial small subunit ribosomal RNA
Source: RNAcentral